GACGAACGCUGGCGGCGUGCUUAACACAUGCAAGUCGAACGGAAAGGCCCUGCUUUUGUUGGGCGCUCGAGUGGCGAACGGGUGAGUAACACGCGAGUAACCUGCCCCUGACUUUGGGAUAACUCUAGGAAACUGGGGCUAAUACCGGAUAGGAGCUCCUGCUGCAUGGUGUGGGUUGGAAAGAUUCGGCGGUGGGGGAUGGACUCGCGGCUUAUCAGCUUGUUGGUGGGGUAGUGGCUUACCAAGGCUUCGACGGGUAGCCGGCCUGGGAGGGUAACCAGCCACAUUGGGACUGAGAUACGGCCCAGACUCCUACGGGAGGCAGCGGUCGGGAAUAUUGCACAAUGGGCGGAAGCCUGAGGCAGCAACGCCGCGUGCGGGAUAACGGCCUUCGAGUUGUAAACCGCUUUCGCCUGUGACGAGGCGUGAGUGACGGUAAUGGGUAAGGAAGCACCGGCUAACUACGUG
Molecule: ribosomal RNA, 468 nt
Filed under: uncultured bacterium
Lineage: Bacteria
Description: partial 16S ribosomal RNA
Rfam family: Bacterial small subunit ribosomal RNA
Source: RNAcentral